Bombus huntii is the source of this 12008-nucleotide long non-coding RNA. RefSeq lists it as uncharacterized. The record is from RefSeq and is a predicted model, not a curated record. The transcript has 3 exons. Lineage: Eukaryota; Metazoa; Arthropoda; Insecta; Hymenoptera; Apidae.
AGUGCUCAAUUCAGAUAAAAUUAACGUAUACAAGAACAUAUAAAAUUAAGGAUCUGCCCUGUUUGGUUAUAAUUUAGCAUAUACAAGAACCUAUGUACUUUAGCUUAAAGUUAGGGAUCUUCCCUGCUUGGUUAUACAAUACCAUAGACAAGAACCUACUGAGUUCCACGCUACAAGAAACUGUUUAACCUUGCCUUGCAAUUUAAGUUCCAAUAGCGCUAACCGUAAACAGCAAGAUCGGUCGCACAUCAAGCCAUUUCACGGUUUGGCUGAGCGUUUGGAAUUGUGCAAAUCGUACAUGUCUUUUGAUAUGUAAAUGCAUGUGUAAGGUACAGCUAAUUUUAUUUUGCAAAAUGUUUAAUAAGUAAUUACUACCAAUUGGUCAUUGAAUAAGAAAGAUUUAUUAUCUUGAAGUAAAUAGUAAAUCAAUAACAUCAACGAACCACGUCUCUCACACGAUGGACAAUUGCACGGUUCUACGGAAAAGUGCAUAUCUACUUUUCUAUCCGAGAUAAACAAAUAGGAAAAUGACAAAAUUUUUUUAUUAUCAUUAUUUAAUUUGUAUUUUACAAUUUGCCCAGCUGAACAUUCGGUAAAUUUUUCUAGCUUAAUUGCUAAAUAACAUGUGCUACUCCAGCGGGAUACCAUAUUCCAGUUUGACUAUUUUAUUUCCAUAGUGAGGUCAAUGGGGUGUUUUCUUUUUAAUCCUCUUUUCAUGAGAGUUUUGCUCGCUUCAACAGCCAGCUAGUUUGGAUGUGCUGUCGUUUUUUCCUUGUAUUUUUUUGGGUACCUGCCAAUUUCUUCUUUGACCGUUGGUAUUUUUAAGUCUUUUCGUAUAUCCUAAUGACAAAAUUGCGGAAUAGUGAAACUAAUUGUAAGUUGCCUAAGAAGGAGAAAUUAAUUGUUUACUAUAUUUUUGUAGACGAGAAAAGAGAAAAUUCUUUUUCAAACGAUCAGUAGAGUGAUACAAUAAUUUUUAUAUUUUUCCGAACACCAUUUAAAUUUAACAUUAAUCCUCAGCACUUGGCAUGUCAAUUGUACUGGCAUGAAUAUUUUUUCAUUGUCGCAUGGAACUAUAUCCUAUAUCGUUUUCCUUAGUAUGUACGAUGGUGUUUGUUAAGGCAAAUUCAACGACAUUGUAUAUGAGCUCAUUUAUUGUUGUAAAAUGUUAUAAAUUAAUCAGUUUAUAAGGAAUUAAGUGAGCCAGACUCACUAGCUACUGGCUAUUAGAUUGCAGUAAACGCUGUAAACAAAUAUCGAAACCAACUUCUCAAAUUACCAAAUAUUACUGAAUCAUGAAAACUGACUUUAGUUGACAUACUUUAGACGAAUAAAAAUUGUAGAUGUUAAAAAUACCUAUCAAAUAAGAUGUCACAUGUUAAGAUUGGUAAAUUCGUCGACUCAUAAAUAAUAAAAACUGUCCAAAAUCGCACUAUUUCAAUUACCAACUAUUGAAAUUGAGAAUGCGAAGUUGAAAGUUAAUGAAAAUGUAGUUCUUGUCAGAUGUAUGAAAAUGUGAAUUUCGAAUGUCUGGGAUAACCGCCUGACUUUCGUCAUCCUUCACUGUAGAAAGAGAAAACGUCAACACUUGAAGGUUUUGACAAAGUGAACCAUGAAAGCCCCUUACAAACAAUCAAAAAACAUUUCCCGGAACAAAUCCAUCACUUACUCAAAUCAUACUUAAACAACAGAACCUUUGUAAUAAAAAUAAAAGAUGUAUAUUCUCAAGUAAAAGACAUCAAGGCACGGGUACCGCAAGGAAGCGUCUUAUGACCAAUGUUAUGCACACUCUACACGGUCGACAUACCAACAACUAUCAACAGCAAGAUACUGACAUUCGCGGACGAUACAGCCGUACUAGUCAGACACACUAACCUAGAAACGGCAGUCAAAUCACUACAAGAACAUAUCACAAAAAUAGAAAAGUGGCUGCAAGAUAAACAAAUAAAAGCAAACCCCUAGGUAUUUGACUUGCCUUCUUUGCGAUAUAUGCGUGCCGUUCAGUAGGAUGUUUGGUGGUGUCUGUUUUCGCAGUGUGAAUGUAGUAUGGUUGCAUUUAUCGGGGUUUGCUUUUAUUUGUUUAUCUUGCAGCCACUUUUCUAUUUUUGUGAUAUGUUCUUGUAGUGAUUUGACUGCUGUUUCUAGGUUAGUGUGCCUGACUAGUACGGCUGUGUCGUCCGCGAAUGUCAGUAUUUUGCUAUUGGUAGUUGUUGGUAUGUUGGCCGUGUAUAGCGUGAAUAGUAUUGGUCCUAAGACGCUUCCUUGCGGAACCCCUGCCUUGAUGUCUUUGACUUCAGAGUAUGUAUCCUUGAUUUUUAUUACGAAGGUUCUGCUGCUUAAGUAAGAUUUUAUUAAUUGGUAUGUUUGCUCCGGGAAUUGUUUCCUGAUUGUUUGCAGUAGGCUUUCGUGGUUUAUUUUGUCAAAUGCUAUGUCCAUACAGAGGGCUGUACAGUAUUGUUUGUUUUCUAAUGCUAGUAUUAUUUCGUUGAUGAGCCUGUGCAUUUCCUCUAUAGUGGAAUGUUUGUUUCUGAAUCCGAAUUGGUGAUCUGGUAUUAAUUUUUCCUACUCCAUUAUUGGUUUUAUGCGGUCGUAUAUUAUUUUCUCUAGUAUUUUGGAAAAUACGGGAAGUAGUGCUAUUGGUCUGUAAAAUGUAGUUUCGUGUGAGUCUUUGCCUGGUUUAGGUAACAUUAUAACCUGUGCCAAUUUAGAUAGUUUAGGAAAGUAUUGAAUUCUUAGUAUUGCAUUGAAUAUUAUUAGUCUUAUCGCUUUUGGCGGAAGGUUUUUUCAAGAUUUUACCAUUGAUUAGGUCGAUUCCUGGUGCUUUAUUAUUUUUUGUUUUCUCGAUUAAGUUUCUAAUUUCUUGUGCUGUUGUUUUAGGUAUGGUGUAGUGUUUGUCAGUUGCUUCUGGCCCAUGUGUUGUCUGCUUUUCUGAUUGCUGGGAUUCGUUUUAUUGGCUUCUUUAUUUUGUUCGUGACUUUCCAUAUAGGGUAGUUGGCAUUCCCGUGUGUCUCUAUGAGUUUUGAGAAUUCGUUAUUAUUAUGAUCUUUUAUUUUACUUUUUAUUUCCUUUGCGAGUUUGUUUAGGUAUUUUUUGUUUUCAUCUGUCCUAUGUUUUUGCCAUUUUGCUUUUGCUUUUCUUUUUCCUCUGGUUUUGUCAAAGAUGUCUGUUGGAAUUAUUUUUGUUUGCCUGUUGUUUGGUUCAUAAAUAGUAGUUGCCCACGCUGCUUCUUAUAUAAUUUCUGUCAAUAUUGCUACUACCUGUUCGAUGUUGUCGAAUGUUUUUGUUGGAACAUUGCAGUUGAUUUUGCUUUCAAUUAGUUCUUUAAACGUUUGCCAUUUGGUGGUUAUAUUGCAAAGCGACUCUGGAUUGCUGCAAAGUAUUGGUCUGCUUGUGUAUUCUAUUAUUAUCGAUGUAUGAUCGGAGAUAAGCUCAGAACUAGGUGUUAUUUUUAAUUUAUUUGCGUAUAGUCCUUUUAUAACUGCAAAAUCAAACAAGAAAGCAAUUUUGUUUAGAUCUGUCAGCCAGUAUGUUGGCCUUCCUGUGGAUAAUAUGUUGAGAUUACUAGUUCUAAUAUAUUUUUCUAGUGUUCUACCUCGAAGUGUAUUAAUUCUUAAGCCUCAUAGCGUGUGUUUUGUAUUGAAGUCUCCCGUAGCGAUGUAUUUGUCACCUAAGGAUUGAAAAUACUGUUCUCAUUUUUGAAAUGCCAUUUUAUGUCGCGGUGGUGUAUAUACUGCUGACAUCUGGAAGUAAUUGCUGUUAGUUUAUAUUUUAACGGUAGUUGCUUGAACGCGUCCCACACUAGUUUCAUUAUGUUAAUGGUGUUUGAUAUCGUUUCUUAUUAUCGCUGCAGUUCCUCCGUGUGCUUUUCCUGAGGGGUGUUUGGUAUCAUAGAUGGGGUAAUAUGGUAUUUUCAUGUAGCUUUUUGGUGUGAAAUGUGUUUCUGAAAUAAGUAAUAUUAUUGUUAUACAGAAUUGUUUUAGUUUCGAGGGCCCGUUGUUGUAGGCCAUUGGAGCUCCAAGCUUCUAUUUUCACUGUGUCCGUUUCCAUCUUUUACUUAACAUGUUUUUUUUUCGAGAUUUCCUCCUUUUAUGGCUCGGAGCACCUAUCCCUUCUUUGGGAAAUUCCGAAGUACCUGUCCUCUCCGAGCUGAUGACUCCGAGGUCAGGGAGAAACCCCCGGGAAAAACCCCAGGGAAACCCUCGGCCAGGAAGGCACGAUGGACGGAUGAGACUCAACGGCUGGUGGGGAGAAUCAGCGACAUACUAAGUCAGUCAUCAUCAGAGCGUCGUACCGUGCAGGUGAAAUACUUCAGUUUCAACAAGACUUUACCACCGUCGUGUCCAUAACAUCAAACUUUACUGUUAUAUAACAAGUGCAAAUAAGGUGCUAAAUUACACUAACACUCGAUCUAUUAAACCUCCUCCACCUUGAGCGUUAAGUCAUUCAAGGUACGCGAUAUCGACCGAUCGGUUUGACCUGACCGGUUGCUCUUUAGUUGAUAUUUCGCAACACAGUUCACGAAGUAGACUUAUGUGCAAAAACGAAUCAACAGAACAAUAUUUCCUGCAACGGAAACAUGAAUUCAAGCCUACAUUGACAAACGCAACUGUCAAACUAUUUGCCCAUGUAAAACAAAUUAUUGAAGCAGAUCUCGCCCAUGCUACUACUUUGAAUACAGUACACAAAGAAAGAACUAAUAAUAAUUUAUGCCGAUGGAAGAAAUUACAAUGACCAAGUAGAUAUAUGUGAAGACCAAUAGCAAAAGGCGGUUGCAAUGACGAAAAAUAUAAUCCUUAAUAGCAUUCAAAGUUUUAAUAUUCAACAGAAAGAUCAACUUAAAUCAAGUUCCGCAGUAAUUGAAAAAAAUAUAAAAAAUGAUGACAAUACGGAAGACAUCGUUUCUUACUAUAGGUGGACUAGAGCAAUGGCAAGUCGUUUAUUUUGAUAUUGCUCAUUGAAAAUACUUAACAUUACUAAUCCUACAGUAGCUACAACAAUAAAACUGUCGUUCAUUAAGGAAACGUUGUCAGCCGUUAAAUAUUCGGAAAAUAUUUGCAUUCCGUUUUCUGCUUGCCCAUUGAGGAAGGGAGGAAGGCACUGUUACAACCUAUCAGUCAAUGACAAGACAAAGACUUAAACAGGAGAGACGAAAGUGGCAUCAUAUAAGGUAGUUGAUUAUUGAUAAGAUCAUCAGAUAUCAAUUGUCUCUUACGAGAAUUUGUGAAUAAUCCAUUUAAGGCUGCAAGUGCUCAAGACCAAUGGAAAACUAUUUCGUAGCAUAGAAUAGCAUAUAAUACUUCUCUCUGGUGUCAUCAUGUAACUACCCUAAAAGGAAGUUGGUGUUUUGUACAACCACAAUGUGUACUACAGAGAUUAAUUUAUGGCACCAGUUUCAAUUCUGCAAAUUCAUCAUUAAUAUGAGACAAGAAGAUGAUACAUAGUUUAUUGGCCUAUUAAAUAACUUACGGUUUGCUGUAGUAACAAUUCUUCUAAUAGAAAUACUACUCUAGCUGGAGAGUUUAAGAAGGGCGCAGCAGUAAGAAUAUUACCGACAGUAAAAUUAAUGGACGAAUAUAACAUAAAAAUCAUUGAUAAAUUAACGAAAUUAAUUUAUAUGUACAUUAUUAAUUCAUUACACAAAUCUUAGGAAGUAACUACAUAUGGAGAAAGACCACUAGAAAACGUUAUUGCUAAAAAUAUAAAUAACAGUAGAGGAUUCUUGUAUAUAAUAACGUAAAUUGAGCGGUCAUAAGAGCGACAAAACAUGCCAAUUUUUGUAUGGUUUAAUAAAGGACGCAAUAGAAAUUGUAAAGAAAUUUACAUAGCCAACUCUUCGAAGAGAUCAGCUGGAAGAGGGAAAAUUGUCGGACUCAGUACUUAUAAAAUUUUACGAUGAAUCCAUUGGAAGCAGAUUCAAAGAUAUCGAUAGCUAGAUUCCGAUAUCUCCAGUAGAAAUAACAUUUUAGGUGACGAAAGCUAAUGAAGACACUGAACGAAGAAUGUUAUCGUUUACUCUAAGCUGGGUAGUAAUCAUACAUAAAUUACAAGGGACUACACUAAAUAGAGAUGUAAUUGAUCUUCCUAAAGAAAAUUUUGGAAAUAGCCAAGUCUACGUCACUCUUAGUCAUGUGAUAAGUUUAAACGGCCUAUCCGUAUCUAAUUUAGUACCAAACAAAAUUCUCAAUAAAACGCAUGACGAAAGAGCAUUUGUAGAAAUGCAAAGACUUCUUUCGUAAAGAAAGAGUUCUGGUCUAUUUCAUAUGAACAAUGUCUUUACACAUUACAAGAUGAAAUGUAAGCAUAUUUAAAACGAAGAAUUAGUAAUAAAAAAACACGGAUCAAAUUAGCUUUGAGCGACAAACCUAUGUGCAGAAAUGGACGAAGUAAGCUUCCAUAGAAAAUUUUACAAGGAAAUGGCCCAGUUUCAUCGCUUCCAGUGACAACGAUCAGACAUAACGAAAUGAUAUCAGUGAAUAAUGGGUAAUUUGCAACAACAAUAGUUAAGAAUGAAGAAAAUGAAUCAGUUUUUUAGUGGAACCAACAAGAAAACAUGCCCUACAAGAUGCAAAAAGAAUCAUCUCAAUUGAUCUAACCGUUCCGAAAAAAUCGGCGGAUAUACAUAAAAAAGAAAGAAAAAAAUACAAUAUACUCAUCGAAUUGAGAAAAAUGCCAUUUAAAUAGCCCUUUUUAACAUAUUAAAGCAUGAAAAAUGUGGCUAACCAAAUUGCUCACUAUUACCUUAAUUCAAUGAUGAAACUUUUUUAUUUACAAUUUUUUUCAAAUUAAACUUUUACUAACGUGUUUAUGAGAUUCUUCUAAUUAAAAUGAGAUCAAAGGCAAUAUACUUCAAAUCACACUUACAUACAUAUUUCAUAAAUGAAAAAAAUAAGUAAAUGUUAUUAAAUAAAUAGUACUCCAAGUUAUAUCCUGUCUUGUUUUUAAUUAUACAUUAGUAAAAGUUUUACUCAAAUGUUACGAAUUGAGAAUAUCAUUGUCCACCCGCUUUCUUUGAAACUUCUUCAAAAGACACUCAGAAAACAGAAGCGCCUUUUAGCUCAGACAUCCUUUAUUUAAAGCGAUACAGGAAAUAGAGCUGCGUUUGAACCAAUAGCCGUGACAAUUUCUGAACUAAAUUCAACCGUUUUUCAAAAAUCUUGAAGAGAUUCAUUUUUCCGAUAUGUGGACGUAAAUGGUAAAUCACAAACUCAGUAUCUAUCUCAUUUUAAUCGCUACUAUAGAAGCAAGUGCAUGUACUUUGAAUGAAAGUCGUACAGACUUUCGACAUCAUAGCUUAAACACUUUUAAACUCAAAAUUAACAAUUUUUUUCGUUAUAUGUUAUAAAUUUGUCAUAACAAAGUGAUUUUAUGAAGUUCCGUACAAAUCCACGAAGAAGUAGCUUUUCGACUAGAUCAUCUAACUUUUUCUAAGACGAAUCGUAACUACAUGCAGUUAAAGUAUAAAAAAUGCAUGAGGAAAAGUGUAUUUUAAAUACGAAUACAAGUUUCGGCCGUUAGCGCUCUAUUGGUGUAAAUGAAGGAUUGUAAUUUAAAUGCAUUAUGUUAUUACUUAUUACAAAUAUAAUCUUGUUGAAAAUGACAUCACAUCUCCCGCAUUACAUCGCUUGAAAUGAUAAAUUGAUAACAAUAAAGGAAUGUACUUCUACCUAGAAAAGUUACGUUAUUAUCGAAAUCUUUUUAAGUAUCUGUAGCGAUUAGCUGCACAAGCAAAAGAGGAAUUUCUUAUGCAAACAACUAGUACGGUUUAUGACACGAAAGCACCAAAGCUAUUUUUUAAAAAAUCGUUAGCUUUUAAUAAAUAACUUUCUGUAGUACAUGAUUUCGUUACAGUAUUUUUCGAUGGCCUCAAUAGCAAAUUAUUGGUGUCAUAAGUCGAGGUUUUUCCCGAGGGAUAUCAAUCCCAGACCGGAUGUCCAUAGUCGAUAACAUUCUGGCCUUGGGCCAGAAGGAAAUCUCGUUACAUUGCCAACUCCCGCCGUGAUCAUGGACAAAUACCGAUUGGCUAACUCCUCCUUUAGUUUUAGCCAAUUAAGAAUACUUCCAAAAAAUUUUCACGAACAAUAAAAGUGGGAAGCAAGGCAAAUAGCGUAGAGUCUCCGAUAAGUAUGGAGCAUUGACAUUUCAGUGUAGAAAUGAAGUAUUGCAAAACUAAACACUGUGAAUCAAUAUACAAUCGGCUGUGAACCGUCAUAAAAUACCUGACGUCUAACGAUAACGGUAUCUCUCACGAGAGCCACAGACGCAGAAGCAGUGUCAAUGAAAGUAUUAAUGACAACAAUGUUGAUAUUGCACAUACUUGCAUGGAUCUAAACCAACAACGAUGAAAUCAUGUUUAUCACAAUUAAUUGUGGAAUCACAAUUAAUCGAGAUUCAAGAAGAUAGAAUACUUCAACUUCAAAUAUAAUGGAAUCAAACCUAACUAUAUGCAAUAAACCUUACGCUAAUGCCCUAUCAAAGAAUAAGCCAUAAUCAUUCAAACAGCCAGCGAGAUCCGAUUAAGAAGAUUCCUUGAAAAUUGCCAUGAAGCUGCCCAUCCAUUACAGGUAGUAAAUGAUUAUACAGAAAACAUCAAGAAUAGAAUUUUUUUAUUAUUUAAUUUCUACUUUAUAAUUUGUCCAGCUGGACAUUUGGUAAAUUUUUCUAACUUAAUGAAGAAUAGAAUUGAGCGAAUCUGCGGAAAAACUUACGAAAAAAUCACCAAAAGAUAGUCACAUGAGUACUUGGACGUCAGAAAUCGAUACUGUCUUCGCAUAGGUUGCCAGCUAACAAAUAUAUCACAAUAAAUAAAACAAAUUGCACAAUUGUGAAAACGAUUAUACAAUUGAACUUAGAUGGAUACUACAGACUCUACGAAGAACUCCAAAUAAUCCGAAACUACACAACCCAGAUUUAUUAUGCCUGCAAGAAACAAACUUCAAGAAUAACCAUCAUUUUACAUUAAAACACUAUAACACCGUAAAGAAUAGAGAAAGCGGAAAAUGCAAUAAAUGCAAACAGCAAUAUCAAAUAAGCACCGUUCCAUCAAGAUUCCACUAUCUACGAAUCUAGAAACGGUAGAAAUCGCAAUAUCCUUCCCACAAAGUUCACAUUCUAUAAUAUCUAUAUUACAAACAAUUAUACCCUCAAACUUAAAGAUCUCGAAAAUUGAAUAGAAUAAAAUAGAAGAAUCGUAAUUUCAUAAUAAUAAAAGGCCAUUUUUUAACAAAUCAUUUCCUGACGAAUAUUUCGAUAAUUAUAAAAGAGAAAAUUACUUAUAUUCGAACGUUACGAUAUACAAGAUAUUAUUACUUAUCACAUACUUAUAUAGGAUGUCCGUGGUAAUUCUAGACACGGCUUAACAUAUAUAUAAUAUAUAUCUCUUUGUAUUGCAGAUACAAAAAGUGUUAUAUACGAAAAUUGUUUUUACGUAAUUAUUUUGCAGGAUAUAAAGAUCAAAUUAGUUUUUCUAGAAGUAACUAUUAUAUACUCUUCUGCAGACCAUUUCAUAGUGCUUUUCAAAACGAAUUCAUUAAUUUUUCAUCUAUACGACCAAUUUCAAUUAGCUUUUAAGAUACAACGUUUGCAAAUUUACUGAUUUUUACGGAAAAAAGUGCACUGGAAUAGGAAGCACGGAAUAUGAAUAGGAUGAAUCAUGUUCGCGGGGCAAGUGUCAAAUGUUUAAACAUUGCUUCUUGAAACAGAUACGAAUGAAUAAAUAUAUAUAUAUAUAUAUAUAUAUCAAGUAACAUAAUACAACAUUUCGCGCACCAUGGUGCUGAAUAUUAAUGCGAGUCAUUGUAUAUUACUGGGUUUUAAUUGGAGCGUUUUGCAGAAACGUUUGAAGCAAGAGAUUUUGGGAAAAAAUACAGCUCCUCCUUUGUUGGUUUCAUAUCGUAAUUAUAACGGUAAUUAGUCUGUACAGGUAAUGUUUCUGGAUUUUCAUUCAUGGUUAUCAAAUCCUUUAAUGCCGCAUCAUAAAUCAUAAAUCCGGGAGAUCAGUUUUUAACAUGAUUCAACUGGUAUUGAAUGCCACGUUUGGAAUCCAACAGCCCCCUCUCUGCAUAGUGUACGAAGUUUAAAAUUUAUUAACUGUUGAAGGAAAACUUCACAUCUUCUCUAAUGUUUAGUUUUUUUAGCCCUCGAAGCCAUUGAGUAUUGUUUAGCACUAAAUCAGUUUGAAGGGCCUCUCAGCCUCACAGCCUUUUCUGGGAACAUGCCUUGCACAGAUGAUGCAGCGGAGUACAGACAGGCCAGCUUUUUGUAAUUAUAUAAAUACCCAUAGGCCCAUGGAUUCGAAGCUUUUUUGUAAAAUAACGCUGUCAGCAUGCGGAUCUAGACUAGGAUACACAUUGUACUUAUACAUAAAUAUAUUUCUAUUAUACAUUCAUCUACGCAUUUCCUCUCUCUCUAUUACGAGAUAAAACCUUAACAUUAACUAAUAUCUGCUGUUAAGGUAUAUUACAUGUGUUAUGGAAAUAUAAUGUCUAUUAUUAAAUACGUUCAGAGAUUCUGAAAAUCAUUCAAUUAAUAAUAGAUAAUAAAUCUCAGGGAUUACAAUACUUAUUAAUACAAAUAUUCAUUUCUGCAGAGUGAUUAAUAUAUAACUAUUUGCAGAUUGAAAACAAAAGCGUCAAUGAUACACGUGAGUACACUCGUGUGAAGGACGUAAUACAUGGUCAGAUACGAACAGAUUGGAGUGACAACUCAAAGAAAACAGAUGAAAAUGAAAGAAAAGGACAUUAAAAGAGUGAAAAAAGGAAAGGAAGAUCCUAUUAUAGACCAGAGCAUAAUAAAAAAUAAAGGAAACUAGGGACUAAGGGACAGAGUGGAGGACUGACAAUAGAAAGGCAAAAACAUCAGAAUAAAUGGAGGAAAUGAAAAAACUCCAAAAUAAUGGUUUUCAGAAACGCGAGAGGAAAGUGGAAAAUAGAAAAAUAAUUUUGGGAAGGUGAAGGGUUGGGAAGGAGAAAAGUGGAGGAUCAAUAAAAGGAUUUAAAUAUCUAAAAUAUAUCUAAAUAAUUUGACUCAUUAAUUAAAAGUAUUAUGCUGCAUAGAGCAAAGAUAUGAGGCUGGGAAGUAUAAAACAGGCUGGAAAUGAUAAGGUAAGUAUUUAAGGUAAAUAUUUAAAAGGCAUAUUAAGAUUUAAUUGAAAUAUCUGCAAAUCCUUAUUUUUUAUGAACGCAAUGGGAGAGAUGGAACCUAAGUAAAGAUUUGUUUGAUCCAUCAAUAACUAUACUUGACUUAUUUACAUAUGGGAUAUUCCGUUGUAUGUGAGAAAUAGAUGGAAUAAAUUGAGCACACUAAUUUUUAGAUUAUUAGUUAUGGGGACAUUUAAAAUCUGUUGUUCAUGAAACGUUAGUUAACAAUGUUGAACUCUUCAUCAAUAUGAUGAUUAAAGUUGCAGGCAAAUCCAUGUAGCCUGUUCAAAAAAGUUUGACAGUCUACGAUGUAAUGUAUUCAAGCCUCUAUUAAAGCUGUAAUCAUUUUGAGCAAUUAUCCUGAAGGUAGGCAAGCAACCAUUACAAGACAAAACAAGCUUUUACUCGAAAGCAAGAUGAUAUCAGACAUAUAUGUUUAUACAUAUGUUUAUAUAAUAUGAACAUUUUUUCUUAUUUUAGUAUUCUGAAUCUGCCCCAGCUAUGUCUCCCAUAUCGAAACUGAGGAAGAUUUAUCUUUGUAAGCCGAUAUGUAAAUAUUUUAAUAAAGAUAUAAUUAAAAAUAAAAGAUAUGAUUUGAAUUUUUUGUGUUGAUCUGGUGAAUUUUAUUUUAUUUUCCAUAUCUAGGUUUUAAACACACACAACAAAAUAUUCUGUAAUUUUGUAUAUCAUUCAUGUCCUGUAUAUUUUCUCGACUUCCAAAAACUGCAUAAAUAUUCAAUUAGAAAUAUUCAAUAGACUGUUAAUAAUAUGUCAUAUGUACAAGUAUAAUCUUUAUAACGUUUCACAUACUAUGGUUUCAUUAUUUCAUUUAAUUACAUAGGAUGUAUCGUGUUAUACAUACAUUAAAAAAUU